RNAcentral lists this ribosomal RNA (329 nucleotides) under uncultured bacterium. RNAcentral describes it as "partial 16S ribosomal RNA". It matches the Rfam family "Bacterial small subunit ribosomal RNA", at positions 480 to 808 of the family's 1533-position model. The record is from RNAcentral.
CNNUNUNNNUNNGCCGGCUACUCNUGCCANCNGCCGCGGUAAUACGUAGGGUCCAAGCGUUAUCCGGAAUCACUGGGCGUAAAGCGUUUGUAGGCGGAAAUUUAAGUGAGAUGCGAAAUCUUGUGGCUCAACCAUAUAGACGGUAUCUCAUACUGGGUUUCUAGAAGAUAGCAGAGGUAAGUGGAAUUAGUAGUGUAGCGGUAAAAUGCGUAGAUAUUACUAGGAACACCAAUGGCGAAGGCAGCUUACUGGGCUAUAUUUUGACGCUGAGAAACGAAAGCGUGGGGAGCGAACAGGAUUAGAUACCCUGGUAGUCCAAGGGCGAAUNU